This 2090-nucleotide long non-coding RNA is filed under the name Penaeus japonicus. RNAcentral's name for it is "uncharacterized LOC122256985". The record is from RNAcentral. Lineage: Eukaryota; Metazoa; Arthropoda; Malacostraca; Decapoda; Penaeidae.
AAGACGGGUAAGUCCAAGACAAAAACUGUAAUAAUACUAACUGGGACCUCUGAGUAGUCCAUGACGUCAUAACGUAGUCCGACUAAGAGAUGUCGCUACAAUCAACCGUCGAUGACGUCAUAUAUUUACAUUCUCACAAAAAACGUGACAGCACAGCAGACGAACUUCAGAGCGCGCAUAUCAUAAUGGUUGGGAAGUCAUAUCCAUGUGUUGUAUGCAAAAGGCGAUAAGAUACACAUACUUCACAUCAUUUUCGUAGAUUUCCAAAAGACAAAGAAAGGUGUCUGUUAUGGCUAAAUAUAUUGCAUAUCCCAAGCCUCCACGAAAAAAGCCACAUUCAGCUGAAUAGAAGCUUCCGCGUGUGCAGUCACCAUUUCUCUGCCUCUCAAUAUUGCAACACCUCAUCAGCUAAACUAUUAAGCACUGCUUGCCCUGACCAAAAUUUAGAAGGAAUUGGUUCAUUGGGAGAGGCUGGCCAGUCUGCAAUUGCUAAUGAGGACAAAUUAGAUGGUAUAGUAAUUUUAUUGCUUUUAUGUGACAUUAUAAAUAAAAUGAUGAUAUAAUUUGCCCUAUAAUAGUAACUGAUAAAUGUUAUUGAUUUUGCAUAAUACAUCCACAGGUGUUUAAUAUUAAUUAGUCUCAAGUAUUUGUAUCUGUUCAUUUGCUACCAAAUCCCCAAGUUCUGGUUAAAAUUUAGAAGAGGGAUCUGAGAGGCUCUGCCCCAACAUGUUUCUAGUCCUUAACACACAUAUUGGUGCCAAAUACUAAUUACAUAUUUUAUUUGUUUCAUUCGUGUCUGCAUAAUAUAAUGCAUACCAUUGUGUGCAAUUUUUCCUUUUGAUCAUGAUACAAAACUGUCCAUGUCUUUUUUCAAAAUAAAUAUUGGCAUAGAAAUGUACAGGAUUGAAAGUAAAAUAUUACAUAAAGAUAUAAACUUUAAGUUCACAGUCAUAUAGUAUAUGUUGUUGGUGUACAAGUUUGUUGUUGGUAGGUUUAUUGGUUUCAACCUGAAUCUCUGCGGAAAAAAAAUCUUGUUUGUAGGGAUUGAGUAAAUAGCUGUUUCUACUCAUUUUUUUUCUUUUUUUAUUAUUAUUAUUAGCUGAAUUUCGGGAAUUUGAGUUACUCUUAAGAAUUACUGUUAAUUAUACUGUGACAAAAAUGUUCAGAACUUUAGUAAUUAUUAUUUUGCUAAUAGUAUUGAUUAUAUAUGAUUUGAAUAAUAAGUAACUACAAAACAUUUUUUGUUUCUGUUUUUGUGUGAGCUAGGUUUUUCUUUGUGUGUGUUUGUGCUUGCUAUUACAAAAUUAGCAUGUCAUUUUAUGCUUUUUGUUUGCAGUUUCAGGUUUAUGUUUACAUGAAAUGUAGCAUAAUGUUUGUUUCUCGUUUUCAUUUAUAUACCUUGGCUACUGUGUUUGCAUCUUUUGUGCUGAAUUAUUAUUAUUUUGUUGUCUGAUUAUUUUCUCUCUAAUGUUAUGUUUCAUUGGACUGCAUGCUCCUAUUUCAUUAUUUAUUGUUUUCUUAUUGUUUUCGUUGUUGUUGUUGUUGCAUGUGCAUGAUUGAAAAAUAUUUUUGUUCAAGUAUAAUUGUUACUGUUUUUGCAUGCGUUUUUUAUGCCCCGUGCAUGUCACUCAUAUUUGUUAAUAAUAUGUAUAAUCUUUUCAUUAUAAUAAAGAAAAUCCAUACCUUUGAAUUUUACUAUCCAAAUUGAUACAAAGGUAUUAUUAUAAUAGUUUUGGAGAUUCAGUGUCUCAUUUAGGAAGAUAAAACACUGGUAAUAUUAAAUGAAUAUAAUCUCUCUCUCUCUCCCUCUAUCUAUCUAUCUAUCUACCCCCCCCCUCCUCUCUCCCUCUCUCUCUCAAUAUGAUUUAGAAGAUCUAAUCACUGUUAUUAACAAACCAAGAAUAUUGAUUUUAUGGUUUGGAAAAAUUCCCUAAAGUAAUAUUGCAUAUAAAAGUUCACAUAUAUUGAUAAAAAAUACCCAUCAUAAACCUGAUGUUUAUAUCCAUAAUACGUACGAAGAAUACAUAAUUUUAACACGAACACAUGAUAUCAUUGCUGCUGUAAUGACAACAUUUACCAUUGGACUACGC